This is a long non-coding RNA of Pipistrellus kuhlii (Kuhl's pipistrelle), 102 nucleotides long. RefSeq lists it as uncharacterized. The record is from RefSeq and is a predicted model, not a curated record. The transcript has 3 exons. NCBI's taxonomy places the organism in Eukaryota, Metazoa, Chordata, Mammalia, Chiroptera, Vespertilionidae.
CUUUGCAACCUCCUGCUCUGGUUUAGGAACAGUCUGCUCCUUUGCAGUGAGGAUCAUCUCAAUGUGGCCGGGAGAGCUCGUGUAUGGGAUAGCAAGAGCACA